UCUUAAAUUAUGGGCAAAUUUCAUCGGGAAAGCAUUUUAUUGAAAAUAAAGUAGACUAUAUGCAGUGCGUUUGCAAAUCAUGAGUUAUUUGCUCCAGUCUGGAAGCUCCAAAACUGUGUUCGUCUAGGCAUGUCUGUAAUCGGUUUAAUCUUCAUGAUGGGUUCUGGAGUUACGUUCUCGACAUACAGACGUAUUCGACGGAUACUCUGGUAACUAAGUUACAUUUGAACUUGUUUCUGUCGCACUCUUCAAAAGAGUUGCAGUUGCUUGGGUCUUCAAACUAGAGAACUUCGAAAAGGACAUAGAGAGAAUGAUUCAUUCAAAAUCUGGAUUGUAUUGGAAAAUAUCAUGAAAAUAUACCCGCCCAAUUACUAUGGUUGGUAUCCUGAUUGCAAGCUUCGUGGAAAUGUUUCUCAACCCUCCGAGUUACUACACUUGAAAGUUGGAACAAAGACGCAGACACGAAAGACGAGUUAACUUAUUCGCCAUGGACCGUGUUCAUUAUCGUAUUAUUGAUACUAAGCUCGAUGUUCUGUAUUCCGUUUUUUGCAGGUCUUGUACGUUUCUGAAUUUUCGACCCGAAAUGAUUCGGUGUGAAUUUUUACGGGAAAUAUAAAAAAAUUGAACAGAAUGAUAAUGAUGAAAUCGUAGUUACGGAAUCUGCGACUGUGUUGAAUUUAAAUUAUACGAACAAAUUUUGACUUCGCUUUGAUUUCAGCAAAUAUAUUUUGUGUUGAAGUCGCCGCUUUGGUUCCAGACUUAGUUGCACGUUUCGUGUAAUUAUUUUUAUUACUAUCAGAUGACCCCAAUGUCAAACUCGCAAUUGUUUCAAUAAAUUUAUGAACUUGCAAGCGAGUCACAUUCGAAUCUGGGGAUUGCACAACCUUGGCUUUCUUUUCUUCAAUUAUCUUUUGCCUCCACAUUUUUCAUUUUUUUAUCCGCCUCCCUCCCUUUCCUUUCCUUAUUAACCUCAACAAUUAAG
Non-coding RNA from Styela clava, 982 nucleotides. NCBI's taxonomy places the organism in Eukaryota, Metazoa, Chordata, Ascidiacea, Stolidobranchia, Styelidae. The record is from RefSeq and is a predicted model, not a curated record.